RNAcentral lists this ribosomal RNA (253 nucleotides) under uncultured bacterium. RNAcentral's name for it is "partial 16S ribosomal RNA". It matches the Rfam family "Bacterial small subunit ribosomal RNA", at positions 524 to 776 of the family's 1533-position model. The record is from RNAcentral.
GACGGAGGGUGCUAGCGUUGUUCGGAAUCACUGGGCGUAAAGGGCGCGUAGGCGGCCGCCCGCGUCGGACAUGAAAGCCCGGGGCUCAACCCCGGAACGGCGUCCGAUACGGGGCGGCUCGAGGCCGGGAGAGGGGGGUGGAAUACCCAGUGUAGAGGUGAAAUUCGUAGAUAUUGGGUGGAACACCCGUGGCGAAGGCGGCUCUCUGGGACGGUACUGACGCUGAGACGCGAAAGCGUGGGGAGCGAACAGG